AGACCUUCCCUAUGAGGGAGGCGGAGGCAAGGACCGGUCCGUGUCCCUCGCGUGAGUGGGUUGAGUGACUCAGCCCUGGGACCAGCGGCGGGGAGAGAAAGGGGGCUUUGGUCACUGGGGGCGGGACGAGAGAGGCCGGAGCAAAGCGUGGGGGGCAGGAAGCGGGGGCCAGGGGAGGGACUGGGACAGCCAGCGCCAGUAGGCACAGGGGAGGGCCAAGGAAGGAGAGGAAGGUUCUCCCACGCAGUCCCGUCUCCCCAGUUCUAGGUGCCAGAAACAGCCCUCGCCUACCGUGCUGGGCCCUGUCCCCGGCCACGUGACAGCAUGGGGGGUCCUCACCCGCGGGGCAGGUAGCUGCCCUCCUCCCUCUGUCCGCAUCUGCCGCUGGAAACUCACCUGGCUUUGCGAUGGGGCCCGGGGCGGCUGCCGGGACACGUAGGGGCAUCUUUUUGCUGCAAAUGGAAGAGGUUCAUGCAGACGCAGACCGUCACGCAAGGCCCUGAGUGGAGUGGUCAGCCCAAGGACGCAGCCUCCCCCCGGGAGCCUGCCCGCCUUGGCAUCGGCCGUGAGCCCGGUGGCCAGCUAGACCGCGAAGCCCAGAAUCACCCUCGGCGCCCUGAGGCGCCCCUGGGGGCAGAAACGGCUGCCUCGUCCCAGCAGAGAAGCCAGUGGUGACCACACACGGUAUUGAGCCGCCCCCGUCCCCAGAUGAAGGCACCCCGCCCCGUGUGAGGGCUGGCGGUAAAGCUCCGGUGAUCAAAACAGCGCCGUGCUUGUUGGCGGGGGCAUAGACACCGAGCCGUCCGGGCCCGGCUGAGCGCCGCCGACGUGCAAAGCAGUUCGAGGGGGGAAGGACAGGCUUCUCGGCACCUGGUGCGGGAGCAGCGGCAUAUUCGCGGGCUUGACCGAAGCCUCACACUGAACACGGAAAUUAAUUCCAAACGGAUCACGGGUUAAAUGUGAGACAUAGUGUGCAAACCUUUAGGAAGACCCAGAAAAUCUUCAGGGCCUAAGGGGGAGAGUUUUCAGACUUGACCCCAGAAAUCGCAUCCAUCAGAGGAGAAAUUGAGACGGGCGCCUGGGGGGCUCAGUCGGUUGAGCAUCCGACUUCGGCCCAGGUCGCGGUCUCAUGGUUCGUGAGUUCAAGCCCCGAGUAGGGUUCUGUGCUGACAGCUCGGAGCCUGCUUGGAUUCUCUCUCUCUCUCGUUCUCAAAAAUAAAUAAACAUUAAAAAAUAAAAA
RNAcentral lists this long non-coding RNA (1240 nucleotides) under Felis catus (domestic cat). RNAcentral's name for it is "lncRNA (ENSFCAG00000050621.1)". The record is from RNAcentral. Lineage: Eukaryota; Metazoa; Chordata; Mammalia; Carnivora; Felidae.